Molecule: ribosomal RNA, 405 nt
Filed under: uncultured bacterium
Lineage: Bacteria
Description: bacterial SSU rRNA
Rfam family: Bacterial small subunit ribosomal RNA
Source: RNAcentral
UGGGGGAUAUUGCACAAUGGAGGAAACUCUGAUGCAGCAACGCCGCGUGAGGGAAGAAGGUCUUCGGAUUGUAGACCUCAGUAGUCAGGGACGAAAGAAAUGACGGUACCUGAAGAGUAAGCUCCGGCUAACUACGUGCCAGCAGCCGCGGUAAUACGUAGGACCCAAGCGUUGUCCGGAUUUACUGGGUGUAAAGGGUGCGCAGGCGGAUGGGUAAGUCAGGGGUGAAAGUCUGCAGCUUAACUGUAGAAUUGCCUUUGAUACUGCUCAUCUUGAGUGUGGGAGAGGUUGAUGGAAUUCCAGGUGUAGCAGUGAAAUGCGUAGAUAUCUGGAAGAACACCAGUGGCGAAGGCGGUCAACUGGCCCAUAACUGACGCUCAUGCACGAAAGCGUGGGGAGCAAACA